This is a non-coding RNA of Podarcis muralis (Common wall lizard), 1054 nucleotides long. The record is from RefSeq and is a predicted model, not a curated record. NCBI's taxonomy places the organism in Eukaryota, Metazoa, Chordata, Lepidosauria, Squamata, Lacertidae.
GCGUAAAUUCUUCGGCAAUCAGCCUUCUUUAUAGUCCAGCUCUCACUUCCAUACAGCACUACUGGGAAAACCAACCAAGAAAAGCAUUGCCCUCCCCUAUUAUAGCGCUUUGAGGGGGGCUUAAAGAGUUUCUCCGUUAUCCUUACAGCAGCCCCGCAAGGCAGGACGGUGUUUUCCCAACGUAUUGCUCGCGCUCACGUUUCAGAGGAACAAAAACAGUAACGUUUGCCUUGAAUUAGGUGCCCUCUUCCAUUGUCUCCCCAGACAGACGGAUAACCACAACAACAUGCCACGGAGCUUGGGCCUCCCUCCCCAGAAGGCUCCUCCCUUCCAUCCUUGCACAACUGCCCAGCAAGGGAGGCUAGCCUGACAGCUGAAGUUGGCACCCGGGGUCCUUCGGUUUGCUUCCACACAAUGAACGUGCUUUGUUAAGAACAUAAGAAGAGCAUUGGCUCGAUCUAGUCCAGCAUCCUGUUCUCACUGUGGCCCACCAGAUGCCUGCGAGGAACUUGGCCAUGGUUUGGGAAAGGCUGUGGCCAAGCAGCAGCAGCCCAGUGGUGCCAUGGGGAAACCCAGAAUUUGCAAGUAUGCUGUGACCUUCUGUGGCAGGGGAAGUGUUUCCCAGUCAUCUUGCCAGCUGGAGGAGGCCUGAUUUCGAUAUUCCUAUAGUUUUACGGGAAGUGUUUAUCUGUGGUCCACCUGGGCAGGACAAGGACCUCUCCCAUGCCAACACCACAUCCCAAGGUUGGGCCUGGGCAGUUUUAGGAUGGCACGACCAGUGUGCUUUCACUGGGCAUCACGCUGCAGAGGAUGCCAAAACAAUGCUGAAGAACAAGAGGGAAGGGUGCUGAAUUUUAGCACUGCACAGGGCACCCUUUAAAUUUGAGAGCUCAAUGUCCACCCUGGUUGGGAGAUGAAUCCCAGAAUUCUCCCCACCCACAUUCUUCCUAUAAAAAAGCAAAAAAUAUCAAUGUUUGGUUCAGAAUCUAGGUACUACACCCUCACUAAAGGAGAUUGUAUGAAUGAUUCACUAAAUGAUGAUGUGUGUACCUGA